GUAAGAAACGAGACACACCUCCGGCUCUCGAUGUACUUGGUGUCGUGAUCUCCAUCGGUUAAGCAGGUCCCAUCCUCGAGCUCCAGCUGAUCCAGGAACAGGAUAAUGGCACUGGCUUGCAACGGAUCGACGAGAGCUCCCUGCUGCUGACCAAAUCUCCAGUUCCUCCAACGCCGACGAACGUGAAGGACGCAGCGAAAUAAGCUUUGCAGCGCGCGAUCUCCCCGAUCCUCAGCACUUUCUUCCCGUCCCUGGAGGAAAGAAAUCACGCUGCGUGAGCUCUUGGAGGAUGGGAGGAAGAUGGUGGUAGCCAUCGAAGUAGAAGUCGCAGGCCUGCGAGAGCUCGACGUAUUUCUGGAGCUCGGCGCACUGCGAUUCGGCAUUGCGGAUCUCGAGCAAGAGGCGCGCAAGGAAGAAUAAAGCCAGGUAUGCGCGGCUCAUGCCUCUGUGCCUUCCUUGUUCUUCGUCUUUCUUCGUUUCACUCAAACACAAUCUUGUUGCCUGCCAAAAGUAAAGUAAAUUAACGUAACUGGUUUAGGGUUUUUUAAAAUUAACUACUUUUUUGAAAAACCCUAAACCCUUCAAUGUAA
This is a long non-coding RNA of Selaginella moellendorffii, 590 nucleotides long. RefSeq lists it as uncharacterized. The record is from RefSeq and is a predicted model, not a curated record. NCBI's taxonomy places the organism in Eukaryota, Viridiplantae, Streptophyta, Lycopodiopsida, Selaginellales, Selaginellaceae. The transcript has 3 exons.